This is a long non-coding RNA of Myzus persicae (green peach aphid), 1643 nucleotides long. RefSeq lists it as uncharacterized. Lineage: Eukaryota; Metazoa; Arthropoda; Insecta; Hemiptera; Aphididae. The record is from RefSeq and is a predicted model, not a curated record. The transcript is spliced from 3 exons.
UGUAAAAUAAUAAAAUUACAACUUACGGUAUUUUUUAGUGCAAUUCUGUAAUUAAUUUUACUACUGUUUCGCUAUUACAACAUUCGAGCCCUAGUUAUAACUUUUAACUAUUAGCUUCUAUUGUAAAAACUCCUACCCAAAUGUGUACUAUCGAGAGGACAAUCGAUUUGAAUUUGGGUGCAAAUUACAAUACAUAUUUAAUAUUUUUUAUUAUCUACCUUUAUUUUGUUGCAAAAUACACAUGUUCUAUACAUUUUGGAUCAAUUUUGGUGCAAAUGUAAUACAGCCUUUAAAUCAACUCUUCAUCCAGACUUCAUCAAGUAGGUUCGUGAUACAUUUAUAGUUAGCCGAAAAUCUUUCGGACGAUCCGAUGAUGCUUGAAAAUUUAUAUGUCACUGGACUAUCGAGAAAAACUUACAUUAACGAUAUAAACAUAUAACAAUACAUUCGCAUAAAGAAGGUGGCCAACUAAAAAGAAAAAUAAGUAACUGGUGUAGUAAUGGCAUAGAAGCUAUAGAAACUUCUCAUAAAAAUUCGAUACGCGAUGCAAAUUAAUUGAACUUAAAAUUGCAAAGUAAUAAUUCGGAUUUGCCUAAUAGUGGCAAUAACGAACAAGGAUAAAAAUAAUUAUUAUGAAUAAUUGAUUGGAUGCAAUUUUAGACCUGCAUUAAACAAAUCCAUGCAGUUUACAUUUACGGUGUUCAAGAAGAUGUAAAUCCACGGGCAUUAAAUCUGUUACGGGCAACGCCGUGCAGGAUCAAGUAGUAUUUUAUUAUAAUUUAUUAUUCAGUGACUAGUGUUAAGGCGUAACUGUACGCAACCAAUCGUGCAUACAUGCGAGAAAUGUAUAGUGCGUAAUUUUAAAGGAACUAAUGUUUCAAUCUGAAUACAAAAUAAUAUGCAUAUUACAAUAUUUUGAUACUUUUUUUUAUAUAACUACAGUGUUGAUUUUUAAGGGGCCUUUGAAUGUGAUGAAUUACUUUAUUUUUAAAUUAUCUUUAAUAUUUUAGAAAAAAUACAAUUGAAUACUAUGUCAAUCGCAAAAGUUUCAUUGCCAUAAUUUAUCGGCACAUCCCACGCAGUGUCGUAGCCAGGGGGUUUGGAAGGUUUAAUUCACUUUCUUGGCUUUUUUAAAAAUAAUAUUUUAAAUAUGCACAGUUAUUGUUAACUAUGUGACUGUUUGAAUAUAAUUCAGCAAUGUUUCACACUUAUCAUAUUAUUGACAUAAAUCAAAAUAUGAAGUAAUUAAAGGACUAUCCUAACUGACUAAUGCGAUUUUGGUACGUUGGUAUUAUUAUUGAAGAACGACAUAUCAAGUUAUUAAAAGUUUAUAUUUUCUCUAAAUUAAAUGUUUUGCUUGUACAUAGUUAUAAAAAUUAUAAAUUCCAAAACAAAAUAAUUUGACUUAUAAAGACUUAUAUCAGGGCAAACAGUUUACUUUUGCUCCGCUCAACACUUUCUAAAUUUUUAAAACGGUCCUGGGUGUUUUGCCUACAACGAUUUUUUAUAACACAAUACUCAUAAGCAGGGUUGGGAUAUUAUUACAUUUGCAUAAUUUUUAUACAAUACUCAAUAACAAAUAUGUAAUAAUAUAGUACACUUAAAAUCUAUUUCAUGAUUCAGAGCACUGAAACUAAAAAUUG